AUUGAACGCUGGCGACAUGCCUUACACAUGCAAGUCGAACGGCAGCACGGGUGCUUGCACCUGGUGGCGAGUGGCGAACGGGUGAGUAAUACAUCGGAACAUGUCCUGUAGUGGGGGAUAGCCCGGCGAAAGCCGGAUUAAUACCGCAUACGAUCUACGGAUGAAAGCGGGGGACCUUCGGGCCUCGCGCUAUAGGGUUGGCCGAUGGCUGAUUGGCUAGUUGGUGGGGUAAAGGCCUACCAAGGCGACGAUCAGUAGCUGGUCUGAGAGGACGACCAGCCACACUGGGACUGAGACACGGCCCAGACUCCUACGGGAGGCAGCAGUGGGGAAUUUUGGACAAUGGGCGAAAGCCUGAUCCAGCAAUGCCGCGUGUGUGAAGAAGGCCUUCGGGUUGUAAAGCACUUUUGUCCGGAAAGAAAUCCUUGGCCCUAAUACGGUCGGGGGAUGACGGUACCGGAAGAAUAAGCACCGGCUAACUACGUG
RNAcentral lists this ribosomal RNA (486 nucleotides) under uncultured bacterium. RNAcentral's name for it is "partial 16S ribosomal RNA". It matches the Rfam family "Bacterial small subunit ribosomal RNA", at positions 30 to 507 of the family's 1533-position model. The record is from RNAcentral.